This 557-nucleotide long non-coding RNA is filed under the name Cricetulus griseus (Chinese hamster). Its description in RNAcentral is "lncRNA (ENSCGRG00000025822.1)". The record is from RNAcentral. Lineage: Eukaryota; Metazoa; Chordata; Mammalia; Rodentia; Cricetidae.
CAUGUGUGUCAAUAUGACAGCAAGCAAAGGAUGUGCAGAAUAAGGCUGAGGUUCUCAGAGAGGGCAGAUCUAAAGCAGCUUCUGGUAAGUCUCACAGAACCUGUGUAUCCAUCGUAUCGAGCCCCUUUCUGCCCUGCCCCACCUCUUGUUCUUUUUUCAUGCUUGGGGCUGCACAGUGCCAGACAUCAGUCUCCUCAGUCCUCUUGUUCACGCUUUCAUCAAGAGAUCUGAUGCUGAGGAGGUAGACUUCGCAGGUUGGCUCUGCUCCACCAUUGGGCUUAACCAGCCCAGCACACCAACCCAUGGCGCUGGCAUCUGAGCCUUUGGGAAGCAGCAAAGAGGAAAUCCUCUGCCCAGUGGCAUGCCAUGUUGCUUUCAGGCCUCUCCCAUGCUUGUCUCUGUUCAGACGUGCAUCUCAUCUGUGACAAAGGAUGAAGAACACAGCAUGUGCCAAAUUGUACUUGUGUGUGUCAUUUUUAAUAUCACUGUCUUUAUCACUAUGGUUACUCCCCUAAGUGAUUGGCUUUGUGCUUGGGGCUAUAUGUAUGUUGAUCAAA